RNAcentral lists this long non-coding RNA (2263 nucleotides) under Malus domestica (apple). RNAcentral describes it as "long non-coding RNA (MDOM_LNC008169)". The record is from RNAcentral. Lineage: Eukaryota; Viridiplantae; Streptophyta; Magnoliopsida; Rosales; Rosaceae.
AUGGCUAUCUCGCCGUGAUUUGGUCGAAAAACACCUCGAAAGUGGCGGAGAUCGUCGGAAACUGUGACCCAGGCCAAAUAGGCCGGGAAGAGCUUCAAUUUUGUUAAAACCCGUCGGUAACCCUAUACUUGGGUGAACUUCGAUUCUUUUUCCUCGGUGCUCUAACGUGGUCAAGGCUGGUCGUGAUUUUCUCCUGGGAUGAUGGGCUACAAAGCCCAAGUGGUGUUGUCGGCCAUUGCUUUGCUGAUUCGCCGGAAAAAUGAAAAGGGUGGCCGGAACACCAUUGGUUUUCAUUGGUUUUUGUGGCCUCGAACCGCCACGUACAGGGGUUAACCAAGGUGGUUCUUGGGUGGGUUUUGUAGAGGGGAAUGAGAGUUUCAAGAUGGUGGUGAUGGCUUUGAAAAAAUCCGCCGGAGUUGGCCGGAAUUAGCCCUGGAAAAUGGGUGGUCGUGAGCAGAAAAACCCACGGGAAAGCUCCAGCUUUCCCUUUUUUUUUUUUUUUUCUUUUUUUGAUUGGCUGGAGGCUUUGUCCUCCUUUUAUGUAAUUGGUUCCCUUUUCUCUUUGCUUAAAGGCUGAUUGGUUAGUCUUCCCACAAGGUGGGAGUUCAAAUAAUUUAACUACCUUUAAAUAACUAACUUAAAACGUCCGUAACUAUACCAUUAUAAUUCGGACUCGCAAAUGGCUUUCGCCUAUGCGUUCGUAGUGACGAGUACUACGAGGAAAUGCUAAAAGAAUAAGUCAUACAUCACUCUAACCGAUGAUCCACGAAAGUCAAAGUCCUUGCCUCUAGGGAAUUUUUGUAAAUUCACACUUCUAAAAUUAAUAAAAACGUAAAAUUUGGGACAGGCUGUCACAAUCUACCCACCUUAAAGAAUUUCGUCCCCGAAAUUUAAAAUCAUUGCUAUACCACGCUCGAAGAUAGGAGUAUAAGACAUAUAUACGUAAAGCAGAAUUCAAAAUAGAACGUUUGUGCAAAAGUGAAAAUGACAUCCCGACGUGGUCAGAACGUAAUUAUUCCUCUUUCAUGUUUCCAAGCUCAUACUAUCUUCCUUCCUCUUUAAAUUGUUUCAAGAUGUAAUCAUGGUUCAAAUAAAUUAGUGAGCUGCACAUCCAGAGUAUUAUUGACACUUCGCCAACCAAGAAAGAGAAAUUCACAUUUUACAACCCUAAUGGUCAACGAAAUUAAUUCUUACCAACCACAUAGCUAAACGAACAUUUUUGUCAUCAGUUUUAUUUGCAACAUCACUUUCCAACAAUGACCACUCAUGACCCAUGGCAACCAAAACAACAUAUUAAUGAUUAUACCCUUUUUCCAUAACUCAUUUCCAUAAUCAUAAAAUUUCACGUCUCACACACUGAAAGUUUGCUUCUAUUAAACGAACCCAAAAUUUCGUUUCAUAAUCUUUAUUCAUAUCCACCAAUAAUAAAUGGAGAAAACUUCGUGGUCUACCCACGAUUUUAAAUUAUAAUAACCAAAUCAUAACCUCAGUUUAGGAUUCCAUUCUCACUCGAUAAAAUCUCAUUCAUACUAUUUGGAAAGUACAUUGUAAUUAUUGGUAAAGCCACUUCCCAUUACUUUUAGCCACACGAAUACCAGAAAUUAUGGUCAUAACGAUAUUGGCACAAUCAAAUAUCAGAUUUCAAGCCGUGACUAUCGUGGUUAACAAAAUACUAGAAUUUCACGCCAUAAUUCAUUGAUGGCAAACCAAAUCAAUCAAUUUUAUAUUCGUAAACUUUUCUUGUCAAUUAUCCUCAUCAAGUGCAAAAACUCACGAGAAAACGUUUAUAUUAAGUAAAUUCAAGAUCUCAUUCCAUAUUUUCAUUCAAUAAAUUGUAAUGACUUUAAUGAACACCAAAUUUCCAACCACAAUUAUCAUUUGCCAACACAUUUUAUAUUUCUAGCCUCACCUAUCAUUGUCAACACCAUGAUUCCAUCACUAUUUCUUAAUAGGUUAAAGAUAACUCCAAAUCGAUACUCGUAUAAAUAAAACAAUGUAGUAAGAAAUAUUUGCACGACACAAAUCAAAGCUCAAACGAAAAUGGAUCUCGCCAAACAUUCGUCAUGUCAUGAAUUCCGCUAAUGAGUUCAAACCAUAGCUAGCUCGCAAAUCUUGUCGAAAAAUGAGCGGUCUUGCCCACUUGUUUAGUGAAUCUAGCAAUUCGACCAUUGACAUUUAAACCUGCAGCCCGUAAUACCGAUAACUUAUCGUCAUCUCAACAACUAGUGAGAGGUCCCCGAGGAUACCAAAAUAUCAAUUUGUU